Molecule: long non-coding RNA, 4127 nt
Filed under: Mytilus galloprovincialis (Mediterranean mussel)
Lineage: Eukaryota; Metazoa; Mollusca; Bivalvia; Mytilida; Mytilidae
Source: RNAcentral
UCAGUUCAGGUCCAUUUUUUCUGGCAAAAACAUAAAUAUAUAUAACAUUGAUACGACUAAUACUGGGAUUUCUACGCUGGAAGUUUGUACUUCAUCUAUGUGUGAGCAAAACAAGAAAUAACACUUUCUAUAUGUUAUGAUUUAGAACGAUUUUCCUGGUUUACCUUCAUUAUGAACACUACAGGCAAAUUUAAGAAUUUUCAAAAGGGACAACAAAUUUAUACACAAAUCCUGUAAUGUCAUCUUUAUCUGAGGGAGUUUAAACCUAAGUUACUUACCAAAGUAAUAAAAGACGGUUUAUUAAUUUGAAGGAUCGAUUCAAUAUUUCAGUUCAUAGACUCUCAAAUAUCAAUUGCCUUAUUUUACGAUUACAACUAGCAACAACCCACGGCAACCGCUAAAUUACAGGCUCAUGACUAGGGAUAGGCACAUUUAAAACAUGUUUGAGGGCAAUCAAAUCUUUACCUUACCUAGACAGUAGUGUGACAGCACAACAAAAGAUCAAACUGUAAAAAUCAUUAAAAAAUGGUUUGUCUCAUCAGAUCGGAGCAAAAACAACAACAUUAUAAAGACAAAAAAUAAACUUAUUCAUUGUUCAUUGUAACAUCAAACGUUGAUUAUUUUUCUAACCUCUUGAAGUUUAUAACACUUAUUCCGUGUAUAACUUAUUGAUGAUUCUUCCUCAAUUCCUUUAGCAUUUUUAGUAAUUAAACAUACAUUAUUCAUGCAUUUUUUAUUUGAAAUCUAAAUUCCGAUUUAAUAUCACAUAUAAUGUCUUUGCAGGCUGUGACAAUAUAUUAUGUAUAUCAUAUAGAUAAAGGAAGAUGUGGUAUGAGUGCCAACUAUCCAUCCAAAUAAUAAUUUAUAAAAAUAAACCAUAAUAGGUCAAGGUACGGCUUUCAACAUGGAGCAUUGGCUCACACCGAACAACAAGCUAUAAAGUGCCCCACAAUUAUUAGUAUAAAACCAUUCAAACGGGAAAACCAACGGUUUAAUCUACAUAAAAAAACGAGAAACGAGAAACACGUAUAAAUUACAUAACACAAACGACAACUACUGUUCACCAGAUUCCUAACUUAGGACAGGUGCAAACAUUUGCAGCUGGAUAAAGCGUUUUAAUGGCACCAAACCUUCUCCCUUUUCUAAAACAAUAGUUUACUAUCACAACAUAGAAAAACACACGAUAAAUAUCAAUUCGAAUGCCCUUUCCUCGAUCUUGAUAUCUAUAUCACUAACGGAAAGCUUAAUACUAAAAUUUAUGAUAAAAGAGAUGAUUUCUCAUUUCCUAUCGUUAAUUAUCCAUUUUUAGAUGGUGAUGUUCCCUUGUCACCAUCUUACGGUAUUUAUAUAUGUCAACUUGUACGAUUCGCUCGUGUAUGUAACAAUGUUUUAGAUUUUAACAAGAGAAAUUUAUGUAUUACUGAAAAAUUAUUACACCAGGGUUUUCGAUAUCACAAACUAGUCAAAACAUUUACUAAAUUUUAUCGUCGGUAUAAGGACAUCAUUCGUAAAUAUAGCUCAACAUACAGACUUCUUAUACGUUCAGGUAUUUCACAUCCAAGUUUUAUGGAAAUAUUCUUUAUAAAGCACAAAAAUGUCAGUAUUUACCUCAGAAACUAACAAAACCUUUAAAUAGACUUAUUAAGAAUGGAUACAGUAACGAUACUGUUGUCAGGUCAUUAAAGAUUGCAUAUUUUGGCGUUAAUAUUGAUUCACUUAUAAGGUCUUUGCAUCGGAACUAAACACAUUUAUUCAAAACCCAGGACAGGUGCAAACAUUUGCAGCUGGAUAAAGCGUUUUAAUGGCACCAAACCUUCUCCCUUUUCUAAAACAAUAGUUUACUAUCACAACAUAGAAAAACACACGAUAAAUAUCAAUUCGAAUGCCCUUUCCUCGAUCUUGAUAUCUAUAUCACUAACGGAAAGCUUAAUACUAAAAUUUAUGAUAAAAGAGAUGAUUUCUCAUUUCCUAUCGUUAAUUAUCCAUUUUUAGAUGGUGAUGUUCCCUUGUCACCAUCUUACGGUAUUUAUAUAUGUCAACUUGUACGAUUCGCUCGUGUAUGUAACAAUGUUUUAGAUUUUAACAAGAGAAAAUUUAUGUAUUACUGAAAAAUUAUUACACCAGGGUUUUCGAUAUCACAAACUAGUCAAAACAUUUACUAAAUUUUAUCAUCGGUAUAAGGACAUCAUUCGUAAAUAUAGCUCAACAUACAGACUUCUUAUACGUUCAGGUAUUUCACAUCCAAGUUUUAUGGAAAUAUUCUUUAUAAAGCACAAAAAUUCAGUAUUACCUCAGAAACUAACAAAACCUUUAAAUAGACUUAUUAAGAAAUGGAUACAGUAACGAUACUGUUGUCAGGUCAUUAAAGAUUGCAUAUUUUGGCCGUUAAUAUUGAUUCACUUAUAAGGUCUUUGCAUCGGAACUAAACACAUUUAUUCAAAACCCAGUUGUUGGCAUGACACGGGUUAUGUUCUUCUUAUAUAUGUUAUGAUGGUAUGAUACUAAACCCCUAACGGGAAGGAUUGUGCCUGAUAUCCAUAUGAUGAAAUCUUAAUCUUUCAAUCAGUUUAUUUGAAAUCUGGAGCUGGCAUGUCAGUUAACUGCUAGUAGUCUGUUGUUAUUUAUGUAUUAUUGUUUUUAUGGCCCCGCAACGAAGUUGUCGGUGCCAUAUAGUUUUACCCUUGUCCGAAAUUCCGUAAUUCCGAUAUUCCGUAAUUCCGUCAUUCUGUCAUUCCGCAACAAACCAUUAUACGGAGUUUUUUUGCUAAAUGCCUUCAGAUAUUGGGCUGAUUUUUGGUAUGUGAGUUAACCAUGAUGAGUUACAAAUCAGGGUUAGGGUUUCCGCUCCACUAAUUUUUGCCGAAAUUACGGGUUUUGGACUUUGAGAAAUUGUUGAAAAUCACAGUUAUACGGACUUUUUUCUAAACGUUUUCAGAUAUUGGUCUGAUUUUUGAUAUGUAAGUUAACCAUGGUGAGUUACAGAUCAAGUUUAAGUUUCGUUCUGCUCCACUAAUUUUUGCCGAAAUUACGGGCUUUGGACUUUGAUAAAUUAUUGGAAAUCACAUUUAUAUGGAUUUUUUCUCUAUUCCCCUCCAAAUUUUGAGCUGAUUUUUAUAUGUGAGACUACCAUCAUGUUUGUGUCCGCAUCUGUUUGUAUUGAAAUUGUAGAUUUUUCAACUUUUUGGGACGGGGCCAUUCGUGUCGCUUUGACACAUCUAGUUUUGUUUAUUUUCUUUGGUUACAUCUCCUGACAUCAGACUUGGACUUCUCUUGAACUGAAUUUUAACGUGCGUGUUGUUAUACGUUUACUUUUCUACAUUGGCUAGAGGUACAGGGGGAGAGUUGAGAUCUCAUCAACAUGUUUAACCCCGCCGCAUCUUUGCGCCUGUCCCAAGUCAGGAGCCUCUGGCCUUUGUUAGUCUUGUAUUAUUUAAUUUUAGUUUCUUGUGUACAAUUUGGAAAUUAGUAUGGUGUUCAUUAUCACUGAACUAGUAUAUAUUUGUUUAGGUGCCAGUCGAAGGACGCCUCCGGUAGCGAUAAUUUCUCGCUACAUUGAAGACCUGUUGGUGACCUUCUGCUGUUAUUUUUCUAUGGUCGGUUGUUAUCUCUUUGACACAUUCCCCAUUUCCAUUCUCAAUUUUAUUAACUCAACCAAACAAUGCCUUUCAGCUUAAAAUAUAUCUUAAUAAUACGUGUAUGUUUUUUGCCAUGGGAUUUCCAUGUUAACGGUGAUAUCUCGUCUAAAAUGAGCUUAUUGCAAAUUGAUCCAGUACAAAUGGAGAUAAUCCACCGUGUCCUGUUAUGACAUAUUUGUUGAGAUAAACGUUUUUGUUUUUCAUUGAAAAUUUGCCCGAGUAGUAUUCGAUGGCGACCAUUUCAACAACGUACACAUCAAUUUAACAGCUUAUUUAAACACAAAUUUCAAUAAUAAAUCAGAUCUUUAUAUAUAUAUAUAAAAAAAAAAACAAUGAGAAAAAGCCCAUACCGUAUUGUCUGCUAUAAAUGGCCCCGACAUGAGAAAACUAUCGGCCUUAUUCAUAAGUUAUGCUUUUUUUUUAGAAUUUGUUUAUUUCUAAAUAUUGUACUUUUAUAAUUUAAAUUUAGAAUAAAGUAUGCUUAAUAUUAUU